RNAcentral lists this ribosomal RNA (254 nucleotides) under uncultured bacterium. RNAcentral describes it as "partial 16S ribosomal RNA". It matches the Rfam family "Bacterial small subunit ribosomal RNA", at positions 524 to 776 of the family's 1533-position model. The record is from RNAcentral.
UACGUAGGGUGCGAGCGUUAAUCGGAAUUACUGGGCGUAAAGCGUGCGCAGGCGGUUUUGUAAGCCAGAUGUGAAAUCCCCGGGCUUAACCUGGGAAUGGCAUUUGGGACUGCAAGGCUUGAGUGCGGCAGAGGAGACUGGAAUUCCUGGUGUAGCAGUGAAAUGCGUAGAUAUUACAAGGAACACCAAUGGCGAAAGGCAGCUUGCUGGGCUACUCCUGACACUGAGGUACGAGAGCGUGGGGAGCGAACAGG